RNAcentral lists this long non-coding RNA (568 nucleotides) under Homo sapiens (human). Its description in RNAcentral is "HSALNT0253145". The record is from RNAcentral. Lineage: Eukaryota; Metazoa; Chordata; Mammalia; Primates; Hominidae.
UUCACUGGCUUUCACUGUUACUCAUAUUACAAAUAAUGUGAAAAGUCAGAUAUGGAGUGAACUGGAUAUUUAAAGGCAAUGCAUAACCCAAUGGUUUGUUGCAGUACUUGGGAAUGUUCCAUUCAGGACAAAAAAAAAAAAAAAAAGGAAUGAAGGUUAGUCAAUGGAAAUGAGAGAAAAAUUAGAGCUAAAGAAAGUGCGAUUGGAUUUUACAAAGAAACCGGGGAGAACUGUGGAGCUCCAAUGAUUCUAUGUGGCUGCUGGAAGAAGGGGCUGAUGUGGGAUGAAGACCAUGCAUUAACUGUCAGAGCAGGAUAAUCUCUUUGUAUACAAGAAUGAUAGGCAUCUAUUGUUCAGUGGCCAAAGUCAACUGCUGCUGUUCCCAAAACGUCACAGAAGGAGAGAUUCAUAGUGCAAGUUAGGGUCUGAUCCGAAGCACUACAGACUUGGGAAGAGAAUGUAGGGAGUGGGUGGGUGGGUAAUUCACAUGUUCAAGAUUGGUGAACACAUUUCUCAACCCAGCUAAAAACCACAGAAACCUCAUUCUACUGCAAUUAUCUGGGCACUU